RNAcentral lists this ribosomal RNA (490 nucleotides) under uncultured bacterium. RNAcentral's name for it is "partial 16S ribosomal RNA". It matches the Rfam family "Bacterial small subunit ribosomal RNA", at positions 30 to 507 of the family's 1533-position model. The record is from RNAcentral.
AUUGAACGCUGGCGGCAGGCCUAACACAUGCAAGUCGAACGGUAACAGGAAGAAGCUUGCUUCUUUGCUGACGAGUGGCGGACGGGUGAGUAAUGUCUGGGAAACUGCCUGAUGGAGGGGGAUAACUACUGGAAACGGUAGCUAAUCCCGCAUAACGUUGCAAGACCAAAGUGGGGGACCUUCGGGCCUCUUGCCAUCGGCUGUGCCCAGAUGGGAUUAGCUAGUAGGUGGGGUAACGGCUCACCUAGGCCACGAUCCCUAGCUGGUCUGAGAGGAUGACCAGCCACACUGGAACUGAGACACGGUCCAGACUCCUACGGGAGGCAGCAGUGGGGAAUAUUGCGCAAUGGGCGCAAGCCUGAUGCAGCCAUGCCGCGUGUAUGAAGAAGGCCUUCGGGUUGUAAAGUACUUUCAGCGGGGAGGAAGGGAGUAGAGUUAAUACCUUUACUCAUUGACGUUACCCGCAGAGGAAGCACCGGCUAACUCCGUG